Molecule: ribosomal RNA, 253 nt
Filed under: uncultured bacterium
Lineage: Bacteria
Description: partial 16S ribosomal RNA
Rfam family: Bacterial small subunit ribosomal RNA
Source: RNAcentral
AACGUAGGAGACAAACGUUAUCCGGAGUUACUGGGCGUAAAGGGCGUGUAGGCGGUAUGUUAAGUCAUGUGUGAAAUCCCUCGGCUCAACCGGGGAACGACGCAUGAAACUGGCAAGCUAGAGUACCAAAGAGGGUGGUGGAAUUCCCGGUGUAGCGGUGAAAUGCGUAGAGAUGUGGAGGAACACCGAUGGCGAAGGCAGCCCCCUGGGCUAACACUGACGCUCAUGCACGAAAGCGUGGGGAGCAAACAGG